Molecule: long non-coding RNA, 257 nt
Filed under: Panax ginseng (ginseng)
Lineage: Eukaryota; Viridiplantae; Streptophyta; Magnoliopsida; Apiales; Araliaceae
Description: long non-coding RNA (PGIN_LNC008478)
Source: RNAcentral
UUUAAAGGGGCUUUGUUCUAUUCUAUGUCCGGCGACUUCGCGAAUCUACCUUAUGACUUCGUGAAUGAAAGAGAGGGUUUUUAGAUGGGUUCGAAUGGCAGAAAGGGAUUUCGCAUGGGUUCUGUUCUCUAAGAAUUGGAAGAGAAAGCGAGAAGGAGGGGUUUUCGAUCUGUAGGAAUUGGAAGAAUAAGAGAGAAGGAGGGAGUCUUCCCACUGAAUUCGCGAGAAGGAGGGGUUUUCGAUCUGUAGGAAUUGGA